RNAcentral lists this long non-coding RNA (456 nucleotides) under Felis catus (domestic cat). RNAcentral's name for it is "lncRNA (ENSFCAG00000049535.1)". The record is from RNAcentral. Lineage: Eukaryota; Metazoa; Chordata; Mammalia; Carnivora; Felidae.
AUGCAGAAAUCUCCCUCAUCUGACUUUCGCAUCCGCGGCCGGGGAUCGCCAGAUGACGUCACUACCAGGGAGAGUCGGUCCCCGGCUCACCUAGGUCGGUCGCAGUCUAUCGCCCCCUGGCGGUCCUCUGGGGAACCAGUCUAUAGCGCCCUCUGGAGCCACCAAGUGCCCCGUACUGUCAAAGCGACAAAGACAGGGGAAUCUGGUGUAGCCGGUUCGGCUUGGUGAUCGCCUUGGUGAACGACCUCGAGUCACCUUGCCCAACUGCAGUGACCUCAUCUGGGGGGAUGAGGGGUUUGUGCUGAGUCAGUUUUUUCCCUAAACUCAUCAUUCAGCCGACUGAGAUGCUUUUCUAAAAUUCUCUCCCGCAGGCCAUUAAAAUUAUACAGGAAAAUGAUACGUGUGUUUAUUGCAUUCCUCAAUAAAAGCUGUAACGUAAUGUGUACUUAGAUCUCU